GUGCUCAUUUGGCAGCACACAUACUAAAAUUGGAACGAUACAGAGAAGAUUAGCAUGGCAACUGUGCAAGGAUGACAUGCAAAUUCAUGAACUAUUCCAUAUUUUU
RNAcentral lists this small nuclear RNA (106 nucleotides) under Dasypus novemcinctus (nine-banded armadillo). The record is from RNAcentral. Lineage: Eukaryota; Metazoa; Chordata; Mammalia; Cingulata; Dasypodidae.